Long non-coding RNA from Stegastes partitus (bicolor damselfish), 1214 nucleotides. RefSeq lists it as uncharacterized. The record is from RefSeq and is a predicted model, not a curated record. NCBI's taxonomy places the organism in Eukaryota, Metazoa, Chordata, Actinopteri, Pomacentridae. The transcript has 2 exons.
GCUCUGGACUCGGCCAGUGUUAGAAUAUUUUCAGCUGACCAGGACAAGGCUUUGGAGAGGGCGCCGCUGUACAGAGACUGCAGCCAUAACCUCCCGUGAAAGGACGGAGUUGCCAAUAUCAACAAAAGCUGAGGAGGGCUGCGCGUCCUGUGCGCUCUCUGUGCGCGCUCUCCAACUCCGCCCCCUUCGCCGCUUUGACGCGAGAAGAGGAACAUCCGGAGGGAGUAAUUAAAUUCUGAUUAGAGGAAUGUUUGCUGACUAAUACGCUUUAAAACCACAAAUUUCAUUAGGGCUGUUUUUCUUUUCACUUUUGAUUUAUUGCGGCAACAUAAUUGGAAUAUCUUUAAAAUCUAAAUUAGGGGUCCCAUUGUGAGCGGCGUCAAUGUGAAAGAAUGAAAAGUUCCCAAUAAAAAGGGAUCAAUAGACUAAUCUUUUAGGAAUUUCCUUGUAUUGAUUUGGGGAACAGGUGCCACAAUCUAUCCACUGUUUACUUAGAAGAAGAAGAAGAACAGGAUGUUCUGUCUUGAAUUUAUUGAUUAGAACAACUCCUCCCGUUUCUGUGAAUUAAGAUAUAAAUGAUGAGUCACUUCACUACUAUCUGUCGUCACUUGAUUAAGCUGAAUGAAAGAGAUAUGAAGCCCAGGGGGGUAAGUGUGCUGGUUUCUCCUGCAGGGGGGGCUGCACUGCAUAGAGCUGCUGCUGCUGCUGAAACAGGACACCACUAUCAGCCAAGGCCACAUAGGGCCCCACCUGUCCCCGGAGCGCAGACGAAGGCUUUUAUCAGCAAACACGCACAUGAUUCCCCGGAGCUGUAUCAUCUCCUCAGGACGGAACACGAAGCACAUGAUGUGACUGUACCAUCCAGAGUGCAGCCGCAAAGUAGAUCAUAACAUCUCCAUCACUGGGCUUUGAUUCUGCACAUUUCUGUCAUUCAACAGGAUUCAAGACUACAUUAUUAGAGAAAAGAAGAAAUGGGAAAAAAAGCAGAUUUAAGAAAUGUCUAAUUUAUUUUCCUACAGGAUAUGAAAAAAAAGAGGUUGAAUAUAGACAGAGUGACAGAUAACAGGAGCGUCACAGUAGCUACUGCACAAGAAUAUGAUGACAGCAAACUGUACAUGGAGUCCACUAUUAUUACACUCAGCUGAUUGGAGCCAGGACUGGCUGGAGUCUCUGUGGUGUUCCUCUUCUGGAAGUAUUCCUUCCCACAAUAAUAA